Molecule: ribosomal RNA, 253 nt
Filed under: uncultured bacterium
Lineage: Bacteria
Description: partial 16S ribosomal RNA
Rfam family: Bacterial small subunit ribosomal RNA
Source: RNAcentral
UACGAGUGCUUCAAGCGUUAUCCGGAAUCAUUGGGCGUAAAGGGUGCGUAGGCGGCUAUGUUAGUCUUGCGUUAAAUCUCUCGGCUCAACCGAGAGGCUGCGUGGGAAACGGCAUAGCUUGAGGACGGAAGAGGUCUCUGGAACUCAUGGUGUAGCGGUGAAAUGCGUUGAUAUCAUGGGGAACACCAAAAGCGAAGGCAAGAGACUGGUCCGCUCCUGACGCUGAAGCACGAAAGCGUGGGUCGCGAAUGGG